This 329-nucleotide ribosomal RNA is filed under the name uncultured eukaryote. RNAcentral describes it as "partial 18S ribosomal RNA". It matches the Rfam family "Eukaryotic small subunit ribosomal RNA", at positions 1470 to 1796 of the family's 1831-position model. The record is from RNAcentral.
CCCUUAGAUGUUCUGGGCCGCACGCGCGCUACACUGACGAUGGCAACGAGUUUUUCCUUCGCCGAAAGGUGUGGGUAAUCUUUUGAAACAUCGUCGUGCUGGGGAUAGAUCAUUGCAAUUUUUGAUCUUGAACAAGGAAUUCCUAGUAAGCGCGAGUCAUCAGCUCGCGUUGAUUACGUCCCUGCCCUUUGUACACACCGCCCGUCGCUACUACCGAUUGAAUGGUUUAGUGAGGACUCCUGAUUGGCGCCGCCGCCCCGGCAACGGAGCAGCGGACUGCCGAAAAGUUGUUCAAACUUGAUCAUUUAGAGGAAGUAAAAGUCGUAACA